GGGGGGGGAGAGAAAGUGCAUUGUUUUGCAUUUAAAAUAGGCUUAGUGUAGCUUAAGCAGUUGUAGCAAAACAGUUUGUAAUCAUUGAAAAUACAUUGUGUAAUUUCUGGUUCUCGCAGUGGGCAAGUUAACCCAGAUGCAGUGCGACAGCCUAUUAGCGAAAUAAACAGGUCUUCAUUACUUGGAAUCUUUUGCCGUUUUUCCUUCCACUUUUAACUACACUAGUUUUGCAAAGCAUCAGGGUUUUAGAUUGUGAUUCAAUGUGGUUCAACUUAUCCCCAUCGUGCUUUGACUGAGCAUCAACGCAUCCGUUACCAGUUCCCUAUCCAAAGUGACGUUUCCAUACAGGCAGCCUGCUGUUUCAUUCUUAACCACAAAGCAGCCUGAAAUGACUUUACUUCUUUUUACAACUUGCAAGGAGUUAAUGGACUGUGCUGGCCCCCCGCCAAAGCUUUUAAGAAACUUUAUUAAUGUAUUAUGAGGCCGGGACACCAUAGUGGGGGAUUUAAUUUGAUUAUUCAUCUUAAUGAAUAAAAAUAUGUGUGUACAAUUAAAGUCGUAUUAUCAAGUAGUUGCCUUCUAGUAAAUGUUUGGUCUGCCAUGGUCCUUGGCCUGUUGUUCCAUUUGCAGCUCAAGAUGUGCAUGCUAUUUUAAAGGGAAGUCUUCAACUUUUUUUAUAUUUGAGAUAGAUCUUUUGAGUACUUGUACUGAAAACCACUAUUAAGAGUCUUAGCAGCGUCGUGUAGGAAACAGACACAGCAAAGUUCACGCUGGGUGACAAAAUGUAAGACAAAUGUUUGGCAUUUGUCUGUUUCUCACCCCUUCAGCACAAUGGCAUGACAAGUGAAACCUCCUAAGUUUCCCUCUUCUGUACACCAGUAGGGGCAUAGCAGGAAUCCUUGUUUGCAUCUGGCACAUGGGAAUUUUUAACUAUCAUCCGCAUUAUUGACAAUAUUCCUAGGUCCUUUCUUUGCAAUGUCUGCUGACAUCUUUUAAAACUGGAAGGUUGAGAUAAGUUAAAGAUGUCCCUUUCUUUUCCCACACAAGGAAAAUUGACCUUUUAAUGUAGCAUUUGUCGGAUUUUCCUCAACACCUUUUUCUUAGAAGUUUUCAGGGUUCUAGAAACUUCAAACAGACCUCUCUGAAAUGUUGCUUAUUCUCGAUGGAAGCUCCCAGUUGCUCCUUGUGCUUGGAAUGGUCUCAGGGUUUUGAAAUGGUUGCAUUUUGUAAAGGCAGGGAUGAUUUGCAAGGAAUAUGAAGAGCACAUCUGUUGCAUUUGGACAUUAAGCUAGCCUUUGCCAGCUUGGUGCUCUCAGAUGCUUCAGACUGUAUUCCAUCAUCAUCAUCAUCUUCAUCAUCAUCAUUUAUUUAUACCCCACCCAUCUGGCUGGGUUUCUCCAGCCACUCUGGGCAGCUCCCAACUGAAUAUUAAAAACAUGAUAAAACAUCAGUCAUUAAAAACUUCCCUAAACAGGGCUGCCUUCAGAUGUCUUCUAAACAUCAGAUAGUUGUUUAUUUCCUUGACAUCUGAUGGGAGGGCGUUCCACAGGGCAGGGGCCACUACCGAGAAGGCCCCGCAACCUCACUUCUCACAGGAAGGGAACUGCCAGAAGGCCCUCGGAGCUGGACCUCAGUGUCCAGGCUGGACGAUGGGGGUAGAGAUGCUCCUUCAGGUCUACUGGGCUGAGGCCAUCUAGGGCUUUAAAGGUCAGCAUCAACAUUUUGAAUUAUGCUCGGAAACAUAUUGGAAGUCAACAUAGGUAGUUAAGGACUGGUGUUAUAUGGUCUCGGCGGCUGCUCCCAGUCACUAGUCUAGCUGGAGGGCACCAAGUCAGAGAAGGCUGCACUAAACCCUUGUCUGCUUUUACUGUACUGUUGUUUAACCAUAGCUUGUUGAAGAAGCCACGAUCCUGCUUAUGCUGCAGUUCUCAGCUAAUGCUAGCCAGUUGACUCUUCUUUGACCAUCCAGCUGCUAUACUGAACUGCUUGGCAGCAGUUGUGGUAUGGCAAAGAGUCAGCAUCAGUUUCCUAGUCAUUGGACAGCUGCAGAAUCAGAGCAGGGAACUGGGGCAUCUCAGAGAUUUUUGGCAGCUCAUGAGAAGCUCUUGAGAAGCCCCUAGGCAAAAGAAAAACACUCUUGUUUUUAUGAAACCCUCCCUCCCCAACCAGCUCAAGAAAAGGUCAUUCCUGCUGUGACCACUUUUCAACAAUAUAGGAUCUUUAAGAUAGAGAAGGGAAUGGUAAGAUGAGUACCAUUAUUAGAUCGAAUGGGGCUUGCUAAGAGAGAAAGUGCAGCCAAGUUAGAUAUGAGUAAAAUUGCCCAUCUCUCUUUACAACUUAGUUUUGCCAUUAGGCUUCCGUGAAGUUAGGCCAGUAGGCUGGCUUAUGAUUAAUUCUGAUAAUGAUUUUUCAAUGUAAUGUUUCUCACUUAUUUUUGUACGUAGAUAUAGUUGUACUGAAUACAGGAUGGUUUUGUAGGAACCAUUUGUAGGAGCAAGACACAAUUUUGAAUGACGGUUUGAACGAAAUCUUCAACACUGAGAACGUGGCUGACAUUGUCCAAGGUCAUAAUUCAUUGAAAUAAAUUGCCAUGCAUAAACGUAUAUAAUUGCAGUCUCAGGGACAUGUGUCUUCCUGUUUCUGUAAAAUGGACAUAAUCUUAGAAAUGCAAUUUUUUUUGGUUGCUGAUUGCCAUUUAUUUUUAAUAGAGAAAUUGUAUCUGGGUGCAUCAGCCAGACAGAAUUGUCUGUCCUAUCUGUGCACCCCAAAAUGGUGUGAUAUAACUGGAGAUGCGACCAUGUUUAAUAUUUGAACAUGCAAAAUGCAGCAUAGUGUGAUGCCACAGGAAAUAUGCAGCCGUAAAGCAAGUUUUUGCUAAAGAAACUUUUCACUAAUCUAGCUGAUAAUUUCUAAAUGGCAAGAGAUCAUUUGAAGUCCACUCGAUAAGAUUAACACUUAAAAUUUUACAGUUCUGGUUAGUUUAUAGAUGGAGACCGAUUACAGAUUAGCAGACUGUUUUUAAUGGAUGUCAGCGAUAAAAAGCAAAAGUUACUCAGCAUAUCUAACUGAUAAGGCUGCUGUUGAGAUAAAAAAUGUGAUUGGUUGCAUUUUAGAGGUGGGGAAGAGGAGGGGAAAGAAUGCUUAUUAACGAUUAAUGAAGAAUACUAGAAGGAAUUUGGGAACAACGAAACCCUGCGCUCUGUGGGACUUUAACUCCAGGUCACCAGUCACUUUCUUUACAAGGACAGUGAAGUUGGAUAGCUCUGUGACUUUGAACCCGAUUACUAAUCAAACAGAGGGUUAAAGUCCUUUUAUACAAAUAAUUGUCUUGUUUGGACCACCACUCUGCAGCAGAAUGCUUUAUGGGGCAAAUAACCUUAGUUUGCAGAGUGCUGGAUUCUAUUUUGUUUUUUGGGGUGUUGUUUUUUUUUGAAAACCAAUAGAAGGUAAACUAGUUUCUGCGACCAGAAGACUGAGAAUGUGAUAUUUUUAAAAAGCCAUGAAUUUAUGAAACUCCUUUAUAUUGAGUCAGAACAUUUGCCAACCUAGUCCAGUUCUUUCUCCGUAACUCUCCAAAUACCUCAGGCAGAGAACUCUUCCCAGCUCUUGCUACUUUUGAUCCUUUAUCUGAAGAUGCCAGGAUUGUAUCCUAAGAGUCACACUAACAUUUGAAAUUAUAGUCCAAAAGUUCUUCAGCAAUGCAUUCAAGAUAAUUAAUGCUGGUCCAGAUUGGUGGUUCUACCCAAAUUGCAUGCUCUUUUCAAUCUCCAUAUGAUAAUAGCCAGAUGGGAAGGAGGAGCUGGAGUGUACAAUCUUAAUGUUACUCAAAAAAACAAAUUGGUAAAUGUUUCUAUACUGUUCGUUACACACCCUGUGUUCCUCUGUUGUAAUGUGGGAAUAUUCCUAACGGCUCCAGUGCAGCUGCAGUAAUUUCUAAAUCAAUUGUUAUCUAAAAGACAAAUCAGAUUGUCAACAUCUCCGGGAUCAUAGGGCCAAGCAUUUAUUCCUCCUCCAAAAGUAUUUGUCUUACAAGGAAUGAAAAUACAUAUUGCAAUCCCAUCUAAUCCUAAUCUCGAUGCUCAUUUUGAUUUGCUUGCCUGUUCAGCUCCAGGAGUAAACAUUGCAAACUGAACAUUCCAAAUGCUGCAGAAAUUACCUAAGAAACUGUUCAUUGCUUUGAAGCUCUGUCCAUUUAGACGCUAAAGUUAUGAUACAGUUAUUCCAUAUGAGUAGAAUAAUUGCUUUAUUACAAUGUGGAAGGAAAUGGGAUCCUAAGAAAGAGAAUAGCAGUUUGAAAUGAAUAAUUCGUUAAAAAUCUUAAAUCGUGUGCUUUCCCGUGAUUUCAAUAUUAGGUGUUUUGGUAAUGAUUUCAAAGAUAUGUGCCAUUUAAACAGAAUAAAGGGUAUGUGUCAAAAAUGUCCAGCCGCUAUAAACUGAAAGGCUGUUUGUCUUCAGCGAUUUCCAAAAACAGGUUUUAAAAUAGUGUAUUCCAGAUUACUGUUGUGUAAAUCUAAUGGAAAGUAGUACAGUGGUUCAGUUUCCGAGCAGUACAAUUCAGGUUCUGUUUUUUAGGAAAUUCUUCUUCUUCUUCUUUUUACAACUCGUAACUUUUUAAACUGUAUUUUUUAUAUCACAGAGCAUCAGAAUCAUUUCCCUCUUUUCUUCCUUUCUGCAGAAGCAGGGUUUCCCAACGUGAUUCCGUACAAUCAACACAGCUUUAAAAUUAGGUUUGGCUUUUGCCCUUUGCUCAGGACGACACACUAGGUCGACGACAUUUCAGGAUAAACUCUUUGGCAGCCAUUUUAGAUGCAGCCUGCGCUGAGAGCACGCCGGCUGCCAAAAAUUGCAGACGCUCUGUGCCAAAAUACUCUUGGCAGUAGAGAUAAACUUUGUCGAGAUACACAGUCCAGAAAUAUCUUAUAAUUACAAAGCACAGGGGGCAGAAUGUUUUUACAAUACAGCUGUGCUAAUGUAAACAUUUAAUUUGGCAGCCUCCUCCACCCACUUUUCAAUUAACCGGGUUUAUGCAGAUACUUUAGGUCUGUAAUAAACUUUAUUGCUACUUCUCUUGGAGUACAGUUUAUGAAACACAGAUUUGAGGAGAUGGGGGGUGAGUGGGUUCUGUUCGUUCUGCAGAGCAGGUUGAACACGUUAUGAUGCCCAUAAAGGGGAAACGUGUAUCCCUGCUUCGAAAUGCCAUAAGGCUUGGCAUCGCUAAAAGGCUCGGCAUUGAAAAAAGCGGGGGUUGUCUCCCUUUGGCUUCUCCCAAGGAAAACAAAAGGAUAUUAUUAGAACGAGGUGAAAUCAAUCGGAGUUGCCAAAGAUCGCUUUGUAUCAGGGAUUGUUGCAAGAGACAAAGUGCCCUGCAUUGCAUAAGGGUAUUUGCAGUGCAAAGUUUUCGUUAAUGGUUCUUCCCCUGUUGUAAAUUAUAAUAAUUCUGCAAUAGCCAGUGCCGGAUUUAAGUAUAAGCUAAACAAGCUAUAGCUUAGGGCUCCACUCUCUUGAGGGCCCCCCCAAAAACUGAAAAGAAAAACAACAACUGGGUGUACAUUUCC
Molecule: non-coding RNA, 5555 nt
Organism: Podarcis lilfordi (Lilford's wall lizard)
Lineage: Eukaryota; Metazoa; Chordata; Lepidosauria; Squamata; Lacertidae
Source: the annotation of a GenBank genome assembly